RNAcentral lists this ribosomal RNA (250 nucleotides) under uncultured bacterium. RNAcentral's name for it is "partial 16S ribosomal RNA". It matches the Rfam family "Bacterial small subunit ribosomal RNA", at positions 524 to 773 of the family's 1533-position model. The record is from RNAcentral.
UACGUAGGGGGCUAGCGUUGUCCGGAAUUACUGGGUGUAAAGGGCGUGUAGGCGGGUAAUCAAGUCAGAUGUGAAAUACCGAGGCUCAACUUCGGGGCUGCAUCUGAAACUGGUUAUCUUGAGUGCAGGAGAGGAAAGCGGAAUUCCUAGUGUAGCGGUGAAAUGCGUAGAUAUUAGGAGGAACACCAGUGGCGAAGGCGGCUUUCUGGACUGUAACUGACGCUGAGGCGCGAAAGCGUGGGGAGCGAAC